GAUGAACGCUGGCGGCGUGCCUAAUACAUGCAAGUCGAGCGAACAGAUGAGGAACUUGCCCCUCUGACGUUAGCGGCGGACGGGUGAGUAACACGUGGAUAACCCACCUAUAAGACUGGGGUAAAUUCGGGAAACCGGAGCUAAUACCGGAUAAUAUAUUGAACCGCAUGGUUCAAUAGGGAAAGACGGUUUUGCUGUCACUUAUAGAUUGAUCCGCGCCGCAUUAGCUAGUUGGUAAGGUAACGGCUUACCAAGGCAACGAUGCGUAGCCGACCUGAGAGGGUGAUCGGCCAAACUGGAACGGAGACACGGUCCAGACUCCUACGGGAGGCAGCAGUAGGGAAUCUUCGGCAUUGGGCGAAAUCCUGACGGAGCAACGCCGCGUGAGUGAUGAAGGCCUUCGGAUCGUAAAACUCUGUUAUUAGGGAAGAACAAAUGUGUAAGAAACGAGGCACGUCUUGACGGUACCUAAUCAGAAAGCCACGGCUAACUACGUG
RNAcentral lists this ribosomal RNA (497 nucleotides) under uncultured bacterium. Its description in RNAcentral is "partial 16S ribosomal RNA". It matches the Rfam family "Bacterial small subunit ribosomal RNA", at positions 28 to 507 of the family's 1533-position model. The record is from RNAcentral.